Molecule: ribosomal RNA, 407 nt
Filed under: uncultured bacterium
Lineage: Bacteria
Description: bacterial SSU rRNA
Rfam family: Bacterial small subunit ribosomal RNA
Source: RNAcentral
UGGGGAAUAUUGCACAAUGGGGGAAACCCUGAUGCAGCGGCGCAGCGUGCGGGAUGACGGCCUUCGGGUUGUAAACCGCUUUCAGCAGGGAAGAAGCGAAAGUGACGGUACCUGCAGAAGAAGUACCGGCUAACUACGUGCCAGCAGCCGCGGUAAUACGUAGGGUACGAGCGUUGUCCGGAAUUAUUGGGCGUAAAGAGCUCGUAGGUGGUUGGUCACGUCUGCUGUGGAAACGCAACGCUUAACGUUGCGCGUGCAGUGGGUACGGGCUGACUAGAGUGCAGUAGGGGAGUCUGGAAUUCCUGGUGUAGCGGUGAAAUGCGCAGAUAUCAGGAGGAACACCGGUGGCGAAGGCGGGACUCUGGGCUGUAACUGACACUGAGGAGCGAAAGCAUGGGGAGCGAACA